Molecule: ribosomal RNA, 440 nt
Filed under: uncultured bacterium
Lineage: Bacteria
Description: partial 16S ribosomal RNA
Rfam family: Bacterial small subunit ribosomal RNA
Source: RNAcentral
CCUACGGGGGUCAGCAGUAGGGAAUAUUGCUCAAUGGGGGAAACCCUGAACCAGCAACGCCGCGUGGAGGAUGAAGGUUUUCGGAUUGUAAACUCCUUUUGUUAGAGGAGAUAAUGACGGUAUGUAACGAAUAAGCACCGUCUAACUCCGUGCCAGCUGCCGCGGUAAUACGGAGGGUGCAAGCGUUACUCGGAGUCACUGGGCGUAAAGGGCGCGUAGGCGGGUUAGCAAGUCAGAUGUGAAAUCCUAUGGCUUAACCAUAAAACUGCAUUUGAAACUGUAAUUCUUGAGUAUAGGAGAGGUAGGUGGAAUUCGUGGUGUAGGGGUAAAAUCCGUAGAGAUCAAGAAGAAUACUCAUUGCGAAGGCGACCUGCUAGAAUAUAACUGACGCUGAUGCGCGAAAGCGUGGGGAGCAAACAGGAUUAGAUACCCCUGUAGUC